UACGGAGGGUGCAAGCGUUAUCCGGAAUCACUGGGUUUAAAGGGUACGUAGGCGGUCAUAUAAGUCAGGUGUGAAAUACCGCGGCCUAACUGCGGAACUGCACUUGAUACUGUAUGACUUGAGUAGGGUGGAGGUACACGGAAUGCAUCAUGUAGCGGUGAAAUGCUUAGAUAUGAUGUAGAACACCGAUAGCGAAGGCAGUGUGCCACACCUUCACUGACGCUGAGGUACGAAAGCGUGGGGAGCGAACAGGAUUAGAUACCCUGGUAGUCCACGCCCUAAACGAUGCUAACUGGACAUUUGGACGAAUGAGUUUGGGUGUCUGAGGGAAACCAUUAAGUUAGCCACCUGGGGAGUACGUUCGCAAGAAUG
Molecule: ribosomal RNA, 372 nt
Filed under: uncultured prokaryote
Description: bacterial SSU rRNA
Rfam family: Bacterial small subunit ribosomal RNA
Source: RNAcentral